Molecule: unclassified non-coding RNA, 105 nt
Filed under: soil metagenome
Description: partial internal transcribed spacer 1
Source: RNAcentral
GUGAACGCCCUCACGGGCUAUACUAUUCCAAACCUCUGUGAACCGUGCCCUUCGGGGCUAUUUUACAAACAUGGUGUAAUGAACGUCAUAUAUCAUAACAAAACA